GGCAGCAGCCGCGGUAACACCGGCGGCCCGAGUGGUGAUCGUGAUUAUUGGGUCUAAAGGGUCCGUAGCCGGUUUGGUCAGUCCUCCGGGAAAUCUGAUAGCUCAACUAUUAGGCUUUCGGGGGAUACUGCCAGACUUGGAACCGGGAGAGGUAAGAGGUACUACAGGGGUAGGAGUGAAAUCUUGUAAUCCCUGUGGGACCACCUGUGGCGAAGGCGUCUUACCAGAACGGGUUCGACGGUGAGGGACGAAAGCUGGGGGCACGAACCGGAUUAGAUACCCGGGUAGUCCCAGCCGUAAACGAUGCUCGCUAGGUGUCAGGCAUGGCGCGACCGUGUCUGGUGCCGCAGGGAAGCCGUGAAGCGAGCCACCUGGGAAGUACGGCCGCAAGGCUGAAACUUAAAGGAAUUGGCGGGGGAGCACAACAACGGGUGGAGCCUGCGGUUUAAUUGGACUCAACGCCGGACAACUCACCGGGGGCGACAGCAAUAUGUAGGCCAAGCUGAAGACUUUGCCUGAAUCGCUGAGGAGUGGUGCAUGG
Molecule: ribosomal RNA, 541 nt
Filed under: uncultured archaeon
Lineage: Archaea
Description: bacterial SSU rRNA
Rfam family: Archaeal small subunit ribosomal RNA
Source: RNAcentral